This is a non-coding RNA of Acanthosepion pharaonis, 112 nucleotides long. Lineage: Eukaryota; Metazoa; Mollusca; Cephalopoda; Sepiida; Sepiidae. The record is from the annotation of a GenBank genome assembly.
CGGCUACAUUAAUUUGAAACACCGGUUCCCGUACAAUCAUCGUAGUUAAGCAAUAUCGAGCUUAGGUAAUAACUUUGAUGGGUGACUGAUUGCGAAUGCCACGUGCUGUAGG